CCUACGGGUGGCAGCAGUGGGGAAUAUUGGACAAUGGGCGAAAGCCUGAUCCAGCCAUGCCGCGUGUGUGAAGAAGGCCUUCGGGUUGUAAAGCACUUUCAGUGGGGAAGAAAGCCUUGGGGCUAAUACCCUCGAGGAAGGACUUCACCCACAGAAGAAGCACCGGCUAACUCCGUGCCAGCAGCCGCGGUAAUACGGAGGGUGCGAGCGUUAAUCGGAAUUACUGGGCGUAAAGCGCGCGUAGGCGGUCUGAUAAGCCGGUUGUGAAAGCCCCGGGCUCAACCUGGGAACGGCAUCCGGAACUGUCAGGCUAGAGUGCAGGAGAGGAAGGUAGAAUUCCCGGUGUAGCGGUGAAAUGCGUAGAGAUCGGGAGGAAUACCAGUGGCGAAGGCGGCCUUCUGGACUGACACUGACGCUGAGGUGCGAAAGCGUGGGUAGCAAACAGGAUUAGAUACCCCUGUAGUC
This 465-nucleotide ribosomal RNA is filed under the name Vreelandella stevensii. RNAcentral's name for it is "partial 16S ribosomal RNA". It matches the Rfam family "Bacterial small subunit ribosomal RNA", at positions 338 to 795 of the family's 1533-position model. Lineage: Bacteria; Pseudomonadati; Pseudomonadota; Gammaproteobacteria; Oceanospirillales; Halomonadaceae. The record is from RNAcentral.